UACGUAGGGGGCAAGCGUUAUCCGGAUUUACUGGGUGUAAAGGGAGCGCAGACGGCAUGGCAAGUCUGAUGUGAAAGCCCGCGGCUCAACUGCGGGACUGCAUUGGAAACUGCCGCGCUGGAGUAUCGGAGAGGUAAGCGGAAUUCCUGGUGUAGCGGUGAAAUGCGUAGAUAUCAGGAGGAACACCGGUGGCGAAGGCGGCUUACUGGACGACAACUGACGUUGAGGCUCUAAAGCGUGGGGAG
This 245-nucleotide ribosomal RNA is filed under the name uncultured Lachnospiraceae bacterium. RNAcentral describes it as "partial 16S ribosomal RNA". It matches the Rfam family "Bacterial small subunit ribosomal RNA", at positions 524 to 768 of the family's 1533-position model. The record is from RNAcentral. Lineage: Bacteria; Bacillati; Bacillota; Clostridia; Lachnospirales; Lachnospiraceae.